RNAcentral lists this small RNA (112 nucleotides) under Salmonella enterica subsp. enterica serovar Infantis. RNAcentral describes it as "partial RtT sRNA". It matches the Rfam family "RtT RNA", at positions 23 to 130 of the family's 130-position model. Rfam says of the family: This family represents a bacterial cis-regulatory element known as RtT RNA. Lineage: Bacteria; Pseudomonadati; Pseudomonadota; Gammaproteobacteria; Enterobacterales; Enterobacteriaceae. RNAcentral also lists the same sequence under 5 other names. The record is from RNAcentral.
UGAGAACCUCCGGGGGCAAGAGGUUCGACCCGAGCGAAGCGAGAGAACGUUGCGUCAGCAACGGCCCGCAGGGCGAGCCACGCAGUGGCGAGUCAUCCUCUAUCACCGACCA